Molecule: ribosomal RNA, 1002 nt
Filed under: uncultured bacterium
Lineage: Bacteria
Description: bacterial SSU rRNA
Rfam family: Bacterial small subunit ribosomal RNA
Source: RNAcentral
GGGGAAUAUUGCACAAUGGGGGAAACCCUGAUGCAGCAACGCCGCGUGAGGGAAGAAGGUUUUCGGAUUGUAAACCUCUGUCCCUGGUGACGAAGACAGUGACGGUAACCAGGGAGGAAGCCACGGCUAACUACGUGCCAGCAGCCGCGGUAAUACGUAGGUGGCAAGCGUUGUCCGGAUUUACUGGGUAUAAAGGGAGCGCAGGCGGGAGAGCAAGUCAGCGGUGAAAUACAUGGGCUUAACCCAUGAACUGCCGUUGAAACUGUUUUUCUUGAGUGAAGUAGAGGCAGGCGGAAUUCCGAGUGUAGCGGUGAAAUGCGUAGAUAUUCGGAGGAACACCAGUGGCGAAGGCGGCCUGCUGGGCUUUUACUGACGCUGAGGCUCGAAAGCGUGGGGAGCAAACAGGAUUAGAUACCCUGGUAGUCCACGCUGUAAACGAUGAUUGCUAGGUGUGGGGGGUCUGACCCCUUCCGUGCCGGAGUUAACACAAUAAGCAAUCCACCUGGGGAGUACGACCGCAAGGUUGAAACUCAAAGGAAUUGACGGGGGCCCGCACAAGCAGUGGAGUAUGUGGUUUAAUUCGAAGCAACGCGAAGAACCUUACCAGGUCUUGACAUCCGACUAACGAAGUAGAGAUACAUUAGGUGCCCUUCGGGGAAAGUCGAGACAGGUGGUGCAUGGUUGUCGUCAGCUCGUGUCGUGAGAUGUUGGGUUAAGUCCCGCAACGAGCGCAACCCUUACCGUUAGUUGCUACGCAAGAGCACUCUAAUGGGACCGCCAUCGACAAGAUGGAGGAAGGUGGGGACGACGUCAAAUCAUCAUGCCCCUUAUGACCUGGGCUACACACGUACUACAAUGGCCGUUAACAGAGGGAAGCAAUACCGCGAGGAGGAGCAAACCCCUAAAAACGGUCUCAGUUCAGAUUGCAGGCUGCAACCCGCCUGCAUGAAGUCGGAAUUGCUAGUAAUCGCGGAUCAGCAUGCCGCGGUGAAUACGUUCCCG